UCCGGGAUCGUCUAGCGGCAGGACGCCUCGCUUUGGACGCGAAGACGCAGGUUCGAUCCCUGCUCCCAGAA
This 71-nucleotide transfer RNA is filed under the name Rubrobacter sp. Its description in RNAcentral is "tRNA-Pro". It matches the Rfam family "tRNA". Rfam says of the family: Transfer RNA (tRNA) molecules are approximately 80 nucleotides in length. RNAcentral also lists the same sequence under 1 other name. The record is from RNAcentral. Lineage: Bacteria; Bacillati; Actinomycetota; Rubrobacteria; Rubrobacterales; Rubrobacteraceae.